Molecule: non-coding RNA, 2694 nt
Organism: Vicugna pacos (alpaca)
Lineage: Eukaryota; Metazoa; Chordata; Mammalia; Artiodactyla; Camelidae
Source: RefSeq, a predicted model, not a curated record
AGAAAGAGAGAGAGAGAGAGAGAGCGCGAGCUCUGAAACAAACUACUCAUUUUGGGAGCAAAGGAGUUUCCACUGAUGUUUAUUCCACUUUGAGAUGGGUUUUCUGUUAUUUGCAGUUAGGACUCCCAGCUGAUUGUGGUAGUUGUUUUUUUUUUAAUGUUAUUUAAUUUAUUUAUUUGAUAUUUGGAGGGGGGAGGUAAUUAGGUUUAUUUAUUUAUUUUUAGAAGCGGUACUGGGGAUUGAACCCAGGACCUCAUGCAUGCUAAGCACGCUCGCUACCACUUGAGCAAUACCCUCCCCUCCUUGAUUGUGGUAGUUUAAAACUAUGUCCUUUGCUACUCCUCCCUUCAUCAGGUGGCAUUUAAGUCCCCUUUCCUUGAGUGUGUGCUGGAUUAGUGACGUCCUUCUAGAAAAUAGAUUCAAGUGUGUGAUUCUAAGACAAGGUGAGAAAAGGCAUUGAUUUCCUCCUGUUGUCCCCUCCCCCACUCCUCCAUCUAUGUCUCUGUCUCUGUCUCUCUUUCUCUGUUGGGUGGAUCACUUGCUCUGGGGAAGCCAGCUGCCAUGUCAGGAGGACACUCAAGCAGCCUAUGGAGGGCCCACAUGGUGAGGGACAGAGGCCUCCAACCAACAGCCCCUGAGAAGUUGAAGCCUUUUCCCAACAAAAACAUGAAAGACUUGGAGGGCUGCAGCAGAAGCCGACGCCAUGACCUGCUGACGGCUGGGUGUGAGCUCAAAUAUGUAUGUUUACAUGGACUUGCAGAGCCGUCUGAAUCCUCUGUGGAACGGCAGUGGGUUACCCUGGAGUGAUCUUAUUCUUCUGUCCAUAUUCAGCUGUAAAAUCAUAAAUGGGAAAGAGCCAAUGGACACACUGUUGUCUGUUCUUCAAGCCAGCAGUCUAUAUUGCAACCCAAUGACAGUAACGCUUUAUUGUCCCUUGCGUGCCAAACAUUAUAGAAAUAUUUCUUCUGGUCCAAACAACAGCCUUGUAAGGGCAUUAUCUUCCUUUCCAUUUUACAGUUAGGUCAAGUGAGAGACUGACUAACUUGUCCCACAGCCAUAUAGCUAGUAAACUGCAGAGCUGGGAUUCAAAUCCAGUCUGGAUCCAAAGCUCACACUCUUUCCUUACCAAAUGGGGCCUUUCAACAAUGAUUCCUUCGUGUCAUAUGAGAAGACCGAAAAAAAAAAAAGUACCUUUGUUUGACGGCACUAAAGACUGCUAGCUCCUUGGCAGCAAGUCUCCAUUCAAACAAACCAGAUAGAAACCUCUGCAUUGAGGAGAUGCUCCCCCACCGCCAGCGCUGACUGGAGUGAAGGCUACAGUGCUUAGAAGCGGCGCCCUGAAUCAGCCAGCUGGGCCUCAUCCAGGGGAGCAGACAACAGACUUUCUGAGAGGAAGCAGGGGGGCAAAUGGUGCUACAGCGUCAGGAUCGAUUGCCGACCCCAGGUGCUGCAUUUUUUAAGGAGACCCCAGCACUGCCCCUGCCUGCCUCUCAACAGUUAUUAUUCUGGAGCUUGAGGGGAGACUUUCUACCUUAGCUCCCAGAAGAUCUGCCGUCCCUGACCUUGGCCAUCACUUCAGUUUGCAGUUUAGUUACAAGGGCCCAGACAUUCACAAAACCUCAGUAAAGAGAAUAACAUGAGAGACAUUACAAUACAGGAAUACAGGAGCCAGAUGGGGAGCAGAGCCUGACACAAGGAUGUGAGAACAGGUCACAGGAGGAAGACUCUGAAAACCAGGAGGAGCUCUCACUGGGAACCUAAAUGGCAGACACGUUGACUUUGGACUUCCCAGCCUCCAGAACCACGAGAGAGGAACUUGUGGUUUAAGCCUCCCAGUCUGCCGUGCUUUGCUAUGGCAGCCCAAGCUGAUUAAAACAGUCACCUUCUGGCAGUCUUGGAGCAGGGGCUUUUCUGGCGGGAGUUACUUCCCCACAUUCUGGCCUGCCUAGCAAGUGGAUGCAGCAGGCUUCUCCAGGCUUGGAGAAGAUUCUCAGUCAAAGACACGCCACUACCAGCAGUUGGAAGUCCACCCACGAACACUGAAGGUAAAGCCAGAGGCACAUGGGUGAGAAUUACCAGCAUCUUCCAGGAGGAUGGAGGGAUGCGGAAGUCAUCCUAUUUCAGGGAGGAUGUGGUGCUUCAGUUGAGCCGUAGAGACGUAGAAUGUCUACAGGUACAGGCAGGAAAAAGCCAUCCCAAACACGGGAAUAGCUGGAGCACACACCAAGAAAAGGCAAAGUUCAGGAUGCUUUAGAUAACGAAUACAAUUGGUAUCGCUCUAUUUUAUUUGUUUUUCCCCCUUGACAUUAUUUCAUUCUUAUUUUUAUUGCUGCCUACUACUUCAUUGUGUUAACUCUUUGCUUACUCAAUCCCCUAUAUUUAAAUUGUUUUAAACUUUACGGUAAGGAAUAUUCAUCUCAUGAAUAAAAAUGUCUUCCACAAAUACAAAGACAGAUAUAAUAUCUGCCCUUAUGGAGUAGACAUUGUAUUUUAUUUUAGUUUAAAUUUUGGAGUUGACAUUUUAGCAAGAGACUCUGUUGAAACACAGAUGGAUCAGACAGGCAACGGUAGUUCAAAAAGCCUCCACCCUCGGGGAGUCCUCACGUGCAGGGCACUGACUUCUUUACACUUAAAACCCCUAUAACUAUCGUACCACUUAGUAAAUACUGGGUGGCACUGAUUAAGUUAAUGAGA